UGGAAUGUAUCUCAGUUGGGAGAGCGGAGGACGCAUAGUCCUUGACGUCGCAGGUUCGAAUCCUGCCUUUCCGA
RNAcentral lists this transfer RNA (74 nucleotides) under Caudoviricetes sp. RNAcentral describes it as "tRNA-Met". It matches the Rfam family "tRNA". From Rfam's summary of the family: Transfer RNA (tRNA) molecules are approximately 80 nucleotides in length. Their secondary structure includes four short double-helical elements and three loops (D, anti-codon, and T loops). Further hydrogen bonds mediate the characteristic L-shaped molecular structure. tRNAs have two regions of fundamental functional importance: the anti-codon, which is responsible for specific mRNA codon recognition, and the 3' end, to which the tRNAs corresponding amino acid is attached (by aminoacyl-tRNA synthetases). tRNAs cope with the degeneracy of the genetic code in two manners: having more than one tRNA (with a specific anti-codon) for a particular amino acid; and 'wobble' base-pairing, i.e. permitting non-standard base-pairing at the 3rd anti-codon position. The record is from RNAcentral. Lineage: Duplodnaviria; Heunggongvirae; Uroviricota; Caudoviricetes.